AGUGGCGUCUGACUCUGCGACGCCGUGGACGCAGCCCGCCAGGCUCCUCUCUCCAUGGGAAUCUCCAGGGGAGAACACUGGAGUGGGCUGCCGUGCCCUCCUUCGGAGGAUCUUCCUGACCCGGGGACUGAACCCACGUCUCUCGCUUCUGCGUUGGCAGGCGGGUUCUUUACCAUUAGCGCCACCAGGGCGCAUAGUAGGUGCUCAAGUAAAUGGCCCCUGUCGCUCUGAGCUGAACAAGAUGGGAGUUUCGCGAAAGAGGGUAAGAACGAAGGACCUGCAUUUGGCCACUCAGCAUCUUUCCCUGUCUUUGCCGCGGGCACCUGCUGCAGUGACUGACCCUCCUGUGCGACCGUGAAUUCCGGUGGUACCUACGGUUUCGCUUCUGUGGUCCCUGACCCUGCACUGUUAACAGGACAGGGCCACGACCACCGUCUCCGGAGAAACUCACCAUGCAUACGUCACUAUCCCCUCGUUGUGGAUGGAGAUCCAGGCUCAGAGAGGGAGAGCUGCUUUCUCGAGGUCACACAGCUUCGGAAGCAGAGUGCAGGCCAUGAUGGCUUUUCCCCCCAACCUCCAUCCAGGGGCACUGUGUCCCAUGCCACCUCUCGCAGGCGCUAGACAGAGCAUUUCCUGGUCUGUGUUUGGAGGCUGCGCCAAGGGCCAGGUGCAUUUCUGACUUGGCUGGAUCACAGGCUUCGGGGCAGGUGACCUUUUCACGGUGGCAUUUCCAGCUUUCCUUGUUCCCCUGAAUUCAGGCCGGGUCUGCCAGCAACAACCAGGUCAGGCAGGAGGAAGUUCUCCAGUUUCAGAGAAGAUAUUCAAGUGCUGGCCACAGAAAGCAGCCAGGCCUGGCCCCUGGGGUCUGGCCACCUGCCUGGUCCUUGCAGCCCAGGAAGGGCUGGAGGAGGGUGCUGGGGGGGCCUGGGUGUGAGUGAGCAUGGAGCUUUUGUCCUUUUCUUCAAAUCGCUUCCACCCCACACCUCCCAGAAGCUGCCUCGUUAAGCACACCAGGAACCCUGUGACCUCAGACCUUCUCCGAGUUUCCAGCUCAGGUCCCGCCCAUCUCUGCAGGGGCCUUUCCAGCCAAAAGUCAUUCCUUCUGUGAUUUCAAAGUGCUUUAUUUGUUCCCAUUUCUCCUACCUGGGGAUCCUGGAGGGAAGGUUCUGCAAGUGAACUUCAGGGCUCCCACCCCCAGGUCUAAAUUUGGGAAUCGGACUUCAGCUUUUCUUGCCUUUAUUUUUUUUUAAGACUUAAUUUUUUUAAGGACAGUUUUCAG
Molecule: long non-coding RNA, 1279 nt
Organism: Bos taurus (domestic cattle)
Lineage: Eukaryota; Metazoa; Chordata; Mammalia; Artiodactyla; Bovidae
Source: Ensembl